UUUUAUUUCGGAUAGGAUGGUGUAGAGAGACGUAAUCCGUUUUAUUCAAAAGCCAGUGUACGCCACAUUGUUUUAAAUCGCGGUUUAAAACGCUUCAUCCUAUUGGAUGUGAAUCGUUUUGUCAAGAGUGAGCCCCGGUGGCAUGGAAAUUAUGCAGUAGGUACAUAUACUCUGAAGGCCUAUUAUCUGCCCCGGGGCUUCACGACUUACUACUUUACUAGUCCACGCGGUCGUCAGGGCCAAGAGUUUUGCUAGUUUUACACAAUAUUCCUACUUUCUCACGUGGUCGCGUUAUCCCAAGCGCACCCUGAGGCUAUCUGCAGCUGAGAGUGGACUUGUGGGAGCAGGUCCGGACUGUUCCCCGGUGCUGGUUCGAAGCAUGGCGUCAGCGCAGGAGUUAUGAACAGUCGAGGCGCAUGGAAGCUGGCAAUAACCUGUGACAACAUUAUAAAGAAAAAGCACCGUCAGGCGAAUUUUCUCCUACACCGCUAAAUAGAGUUACGACGGUGGAAUGAAAAAUGACUUUUUUAUGGGGUUUUUGUGACAAAAUCUACACAGAGGCUGAAAUGGAAAAUUACAAAAAUUUAAAUGGGGCUUAAUUGAACUCCAAUGUUUUCCUUCUAUUUGUGGUAAAAGGCCCAAAUGUGUUUGCACGUAUCGUAUUCGUUUAUGCCAUUUACGAUGCUCGGCCUAAUGACAUUCCAAUCGCGCGCCGAGCGCAAGAAACUUGAUUACUCGAGCAAAACCAGUAUAAGAGCGCACUGAAACAAAUUGAAGUGGAUAAUUGUUUUCCGUCGUAUUUUCUUGGAAACGUUCGUAUUUGUCAUGCUAUUUUAGUCAACGUCAGUACUUUUUGUACCGAGACUGACUGAAAUAGCAAGACACGUUCGUAC
This is a long non-coding RNA of Cydia splendana, 893 nucleotides long. RefSeq lists it as uncharacterized. Lineage: Eukaryota; Metazoa; Arthropoda; Insecta; Lepidoptera; Tortricidae. The transcript has 4 exons. The record is from RefSeq and is a predicted model, not a curated record.